This 497-nucleotide ribosomal RNA is filed under the name uncultured bacterium. RNAcentral's name for it is "partial 16S ribosomal RNA". It matches the Rfam family "Bacterial small subunit ribosomal RNA", at positions 28 to 507 of the family's 1533-position model. The record is from RNAcentral.
GAUGAACGCUGGCGGCGUGCCUAAUACAUGCAAGUCGAGCGAACAGACGAGGAGCUUGCUCCUCUGACGUUAGCGGCGGACGGGUGAGUAACACGUGGAUAACCUACCUAUAAGACUGGGAUAACUUCGGGAAACCGGAGCUAAUACCGGAUAAUAUAUUGAACCGCAUGGUUCAAUAGUGAAAGACGGUUUUGCUGUCACUUAUAGAUGGAUCCGCGCCGCAUUAGCUAGUUGGUAAGGUAACGGCUUACCAAGGCAACGAUGCGUAGCCGACCUGAGAGGGUGAUCGGCCACACUGGAACUGAGACACGGUCCAGACUCCUACGGGAGGCAGCAGUAGGGAAUCUUCCGCAAUGGGCGAAAGCCUGACGGAGCAACGCCGCGUGAGUGAUGAAGGUCUUCGGAUCGUAAAACUCUGUUAUUAGGGAAGAACAAAUGUGUAAGUAACUAUGCGCGUCUUGACGGUACCUAAUCAGAAAGCCACGGCUGACUACGUG